This 497-nucleotide ribosomal RNA is filed under the name uncultured bacterium. RNAcentral describes it as "partial 16S ribosomal RNA". It matches the Rfam family "Bacterial small subunit ribosomal RNA", at positions 28 to 507 of the family's 1533-position model. The record is from RNAcentral.
GAUGAACGCUGGCGGCGUGCCUAAUACAUGCAAGUCGAGCGAACAGACGAGGAGCUUGCUCCUUUGACGUUAGCGGCGGACGGGUGAGUAACAUGUGGAUAACCUACCUAUAAGACUGGGAUAAUUUCGGGAAACCGGAGCUAAUACCGGAUAAUAUAUUGAACCGCAUGGUUCAAUAGUGAAAGACGGUUUUGCUGUCACUUAUAGAUGGAUCCGCGCCGCAUUAGCUAGUUGGUAAGGUAACGGCUUACCAAGGCGACGAUGCGUAGCCGACCUGAGAGGGUGAUCGGCCACACUAGAACGUGAACACGGUCCAUACUACUACGAGAAGCAGCAGUAUGGAAUCUUCCGCAGUGGGCGAAAACCUGGCGGAGCAACGCCACGUGAGUGAUGAAAGUCUUCGGAUCGUAAUGCUCUGUUAUUGGUAGUGAACAAAUGUGUAAGUAACUGUACACGUCUUGACGGUACCGAAUCAAAAAGCCACGGCUAACUACGUG